GCGGGCGUAGCUCAGAGGGUAGAGCGUCUGCCUUCCAAGCAGAAGGUCGCGGGUUCGAAUCCCGUCGCCCGCUCCU
Molecule: transfer RNA, 76 nt
Filed under: Thermoflexus hugenholtzii JAD2
Lineage: Bacteria; Bacillati; Chloroflexota; Thermoflexia; Thermoflexales; Thermoflexaceae
Description: tRNA_Gly_TCC
Rfam family: tRNA
About the family: Transfer RNA (tRNA) molecules are approximately 80 nucleotides in length. Their secondary structure includes four short double-helical elements and three loops (D, anti-codon, and T loops). Further hydrogen bonds mediate the characteristic L-shaped molecular structure. tRNAs have two regions of fundamental functional importance: the anti-codon, which is responsible for specific mRNA codon recognition, and the 3' end, to which the tRNAs corresponding amino acid is attached (by aminoacyl-tRNA synthetases). tRNAs cope with the degeneracy of the genetic code in two manners: having more than one tRNA (with a specific anti-codon) for a particular amino acid; and 'wobble' base-pairing, i.e. permitting non-standard base-pairing at the 3rd anti-codon position.
Source: RNAcentral